CUCGUUCAUCUCCAAGAAUUCGUCCCUUGGUCGACGAUGAGACGGAAGUAGGGGGUCCUGUACAGCUAUUGUCCCAUAGGUUGUAUUGGUCUGCCCGAAGGAACGCACU
This 109-nucleotide non-coding RNA is filed under the name Leptolyngbya sp. RNAcentral describes it as "Glutamine-I sequence". It matches the Rfam family "Glutamine riboswitch aptamer (glnA leader)". RNAcentral also lists the same sequence under 1 other name. The record is from RNAcentral. Lineage: Bacteria; Bacillati; Cyanobacteriota; Cyanophyceae; Leptolyngbyales; Leptolyngbyaceae.